UGAAAUAUGGUUGCUUUUGUGGCUUGGGAGGCCAUGGCCAGCCCCGCGAUGCCAUUGACUGGUGCUGCCAUGGCCACGACUGUUGUUACACUCGAGCUGAGGAGGCCGGCUGCAGCCCCAAGACAGAGCGCUACUCCUGGCAGUGCGUCAAUCAGAGCGUCCUGUGCGAGUCUCGCUCUGUCGCCCAGUCUGGAGUGCAAUGGCGUG
This 207-nucleotide long non-coding RNA is filed under the name Homo sapiens (human). Its description in RNAcentral is "HSALNT0384705". Lineage: Eukaryota; Metazoa; Chordata; Mammalia; Primates; Hominidae. The record is from RNAcentral.